Molecule: ribosomal RNA, 254 nt
Filed under: uncultured bacterium
Lineage: Bacteria
Description: partial 16S ribosomal RNA
Rfam family: Bacterial small subunit ribosomal RNA
Source: RNAcentral
UACAGGGGGGGCAAGCGUUGUUCGGAAUUACUGGGCGUAAAGGGCUCGUAGGCGGCCAACUAAGUCCGACGUGAAAUCCCAAAGCUUAACUUUGGAACUGCGUCGGAUACUGGAUGGCUUGAAUUCGGGAGAGGGAUGCAGAAUUCCAGGUGUAGCGGUGAAAUGCGUAGAUAUCUGGAGGAAUACCGGUGGCGAAGGCGGCAUCCUGGACCGACAUUGACGCUGAGGAGCGAAAGCUAGGGGAGCAAACGGGG